GAAGCCAUUGGAAACUGAUUUUAUAACAGUUAACUCCAGAACAAGGUACUUCUGAGUUUAUGAACUUCUAGGCUGCCAGCCUGAGAGAACAAGUGCAAAUGUAGCGUGGGGGUUGGGGUUUUGGAUUCACUUUUUCUUUCCUCCCCAAAGUAUUGAUAGGAGAAAUACGGAUGAGGGUCCCUUCCUUCCAUAGCACAGUUCUCUUGUCUCCCACAACCUCCUUGAGCCAUCCCCUUUGUGCUACUAUGCAGGACUUUUAAAGGUGCAAAUGGAGACAGUACGCUCCUGAGACAUGCAAAAUACGUUGUGUAUUGGUGGAUUCUAACAGACAGAAGAGAUGGGGCAGAGCUAUGCUACAGAAGGCAUCUCUUCUCCCCCACAUCUUUCCUCUAGUCUUGUGUGCUGGGUUCCUGAAGAGACGUUCUCUGUAUUUUGUUACAAGUCAGUCAGAUCAGCUUCCACCGACAAACAAAGCUUGCAGAGUUUGGCAGCUGUUUCUCCCAGUGGAGAAAAUUCCAGGUCCUACCACUGUGGAGACCCCUCAGUUCUUGGGCUUUGUGGUCCUCCAACACAGUUUGGGGGUGGUCAAUGUGGAGGACUGUGUUCAGCCAUCAUCAGAAAUCGUGUGUGUGGUCCUGCUCAUUCUUGUGAUUUCUGCUAGUCCCCUGAUUUUCCGUCAGUUUUGACAGGUCUUUCUGGUAAUGCUUUUCUGGUUAUGCUCGUCAGAGGUGUUUUGGUCUGUGUCAGUUGCCAAUGCUAUUCUUGCCUACUGAAACACCAGUGCUGGCCUCCAGCUUCCACAGCUCUUCCGUUCUUGCCAUCUAGCCUUUUGGUAAAUACCCACUACCAAGUUCAGACCCUCUUUCUCUGUGCUUGCAAUGACUCAAGUACAUGCACUAACCCAAGGGUCAUCAGAGAACACAGGGACCAUUAGGAGUCUGCAUCAAGAGUCAGACUCCAUAACCAUCAGUUAGUCCUCUCUGAUAUAUUCACUUUGCCAGUCUCAGUGCCUGCUGUUAAUUGGCUGCCACAAAAUCCCUAUAAUGCUAGCAGAACCCAUAUACCCACCUAACACUUGGUUUCCAGUUUCAAAUGUCAGAAGUGAUGGACCGUUUUUCAAUUAAGUCAGGUGCGUUCCCUGUUGUGGUUUCCCAAGCAAGGUGCUGAAGAGGUCCAUGUCUUACCUUACCAUGAUGGGCAACCCAAGGAAAGAGCAAAUCAGUACGUAGAUUUGAGUCAAGAGAGGCAUCAGCUAUCCACUAUGUUUUUACUCAGGGAGACAGAACACUACUCACGUCUGCCAGGUCCCUGACCUUUCUCAAAGCCCUUGUAUCUGGCAGCAGUAAACCAUCAGAGCCAGUGCCUGUAAAUGGAGAACAAUUCUAAAGAUUUUCCAGUUCUGAGGAUGAUCCUCUGCCCACGUGUGGUGGUCAGUCCUUCAAGCACCUUCUCUUUGUUUUCCUCAAGAGAAGAAAAGAUUAUUUUUGACUAAGCAAAGUACUGCUAUUCUUUAGUGUAGGAGGAGACUGCACCAUUAGCACCUCCAACCUGUGGUUUAUCCACCAGGACUCCUGCACAUCUCCUUGUGAAACGCAUGGCCAGAAGACCUAAUCCUUUCUCUUACUAUCAUGUGUUGGUCAAGCACGUGGAGGGAAGUGCUUGGUCACAGUGCCAUUGUCUUAGUGACUACUUCCUGAGUAUCCUAACCUUCCUUCCACUAUCAUCUUGCUUGUGACUGCUCAUUCUUUUUCCUGAGCCAACAGAUGCCUCAUCCCCUCUGCCAUCCCUAAACUCCAGCCCUGAAGAUCUCUUGAGCAGACAGGCACAGGGUACCUCACAGACUCAUUUUAGAGUCUUCUACAUCCUUCAUGUACCCAGGCAGGCAAAUUCAUUUCAUUGAUAGACAACGGCAUAUUUGAAUUCUGAGAGGAGGAACAAGUGUUGGAGUUUAUUGCAUUGACCUUCACCUCUUCUUCCAUGUUUAAGGAGAUACAAUGAAAGCAUCAAUUGGUUUCCAUAUGACAGCACUGAGCUGAUGGCUUUAGGAGUAUUUCCCUCAAUAAUGCAAGUCUGACAUGCUGCAGUUACUGAAGGCAGUCUUUGAUCUCACAUCUAUCACGCUGAAUAAAAGGAGAACAGAAUCUGACACUUCUGUGCUGUUUACACAAACAUCAAAAACUAUCUUAGUUCAUUAUUCAAAUUACCUCCAGGUCAGUGGGUGAAUUGCAUCUUUGACAAAAGAAUGAUGUUUUCUCUUCCAGAACUGGAAUUGCAAGCUAAAAUAUGUGUACACACUUACAUAUAUAUUUAGAAAUGUUAUCCUGAAAACACAAAGAAAAGGAAAAAAAAAAACCCCAACAACAAAUAAACCUGAAAGAAUACUUAACUGUAUAGAAUACGUCUUGACAGGAGCUAGGGAGUUGCUAUGUGGAAAGUAUGACGUAUGAUGUGACUUCAAGAAAAGAGAAGACAGAACAGGGAAAUGCUUUCAUGUGACCUCUGGCUUGUCUCUGGUUCAUGUUCAUUAUUGUGUAGCAUUUAAUUAAUGCAGAAGUAUGUGGAAAACAGACGCUCAGCUCCAGCAGCAACAAACAGACUGAAGACCCCUUAAACUUAUCUGAGCCAUACUCAGCAAGCACAAUGAUGAAAAAGCACAAACAGCUGCCAUCACAAGUUUGAGAAGAGAUGAAUUUCUGAACAGGGGCAAGAACUCAGAAUUCUUUUUCAAGCCACAUUGACAGUAUUUUUCCUAGCGUGUUUACUUCUAUUACUAACCCUUCUUUUCCCCAAGCAUCUAAGAAAAGAAAAUAAAAGGAAAAAAGAGGAUUCUGAUUUGUAGGACUUCAAGAAUUAAGUAACAGUAUAGAAGAGGUAUGAAGCGAAGAUGCUCCUUUAUAUGUUAUGUUAUGCAUCAAGAUGUGCUUUACCAACCAGAAUUAGGACAUCACAUUCAAUUCACUGCUUGCUCAAAUAAAGUCUGAGUGAUACUGCUCACAAUCAAGGAGCCUUCCUAGAGCUUAGCCUUCUACAGGAGACCACAGCUUUCCUCUGGAUGGGAUAGCCAGCACCAGGCAGAGAUGUGCCCCUCUACGUCAAGAUGACAACUUCUUCUUAGCAAGUCACUCUUGGGCAGUGGGAGCAUCUAUCAGCUUAUAAAAGUCUUGUUAUCAAUAAUCAUAGGAAUUGCACAAGCCAAAUGUGCCCCAGCAA
Long non-coding RNA from Strigops habroptila (Kakapo), 3210 nucleotides. Lineage: Eukaryota; Metazoa; Chordata; Aves; Psittaciformes; Psittacidae. The record is from Ensembl.